RNAcentral lists this ribosomal RNA (1449 nucleotides) under human gut metagenome. Its description in RNAcentral is "bacterial LSU rRNA". It matches the Rfam family "Bacterial large subunit ribosomal RNA", at positions 1488 to 2925 of the family's 2925-position model. The record is from RNAcentral.
GGGCCGGGUGUUGGAUAUCCCGGUGCAAGCGUGUAGGAAUAUCCGGUAGGCAAAUCCGCCGGACGAAUCUGAGACGCGAGUCCGUGGGCGCAAGCCCUGAAGCCGUUGAGUCUAUGCUGCCUAGAAAAGCUCCUAAGUUUAUCCACAGCAAUCCGUACCGCAAACCAACUCAGGUGGGUGGGAUGAACAAUCCAAGGCGCUCGAGAGAACUCUGGCCAAGGAACUCGGCAAAAUAACCCCGUAACUUCGGAAGAAGGGGUGCUCUCUAGGGUGACAUGUUUAACAUAUGAAGCCCCGGGGAGCCGCAGUGAAUUGGUGGUGGCGACUGUUUACUAAAAACAUAGGUCUGUGCGAAGUCCUAAAGACGACGUAUACGGACUGACGCCUGCCCGGUGCUGGAAGGUUAAAAGGAGGGGUCAGCGCAAGCAAAGCUCCGAAUUGAAGCCCCAGUAAACGGCGGCCGUAACUAUAACGGUCCUAAGGUAGCGAAAUUCCUUGUCGGGUAAGUUCCGACCUGCACGAAUGGCGUAACGAUCUCCACACUGUCUCGGCCAGAGACUCGGUGAAAUUGCAGUCGCGGUGAAAAUUCCGUGUACCCGCAGAAAGACGGAAAGACCCUGUGAACCUUUACUAUAGCUUGACAUUGGAUUUUGGGCCUGCAUGUGUAGGAUAGGUGGGAGGCUGUGAACCCUGUACGCCAGUAUGGGGGGAGCCAUCCUUGAAAUACCACCCUUGCAUGUUUAAGAUCCUAACUUCUUCCGGUUAUCCCGGAGAAAGACAGUGUCUGGCGGGUAGUUUGACUGGGGCGGUCGCCUCCUAAAGUGUAACGGAGGCAUGCAAAGGUUCCCUCAGCCUGAUCGGAAACCAGGCGCUGAGUGCAAACGCAUAAGGGAGCUUGACUGUAAGAGAGACAUCUCGAACAGGAACGAAAGUUGGCGUUAGUGAUCCGGUGGUCCCGAAUGGAAGGGCCAUCGCUCAUUGGAUAAAAGGUACGCCGGGGAUAACAGGCUGAUCGCAUCCAAGAGUUCACAUCGACGAUGCGGUUUGGCACCUCGAUGUCGGCUCAUCACAUCCUGGGGCUGAAGCAGGUCCCAAGGGUACGGCUGUUCGCCGUUUAAAGUGGUACGCGAGCUGGGUUUAAAACGUCGUGAGACAGUUUGGUCCCUAUCUUCUGUGGGCGAAGGAGAAUUGAGAGGGCCUGUCCCUAGUACGAGAGGACCGGGAUGGACGCACCCCUGGUGAUCCUGUUGUCGCGCCAGCGGCAUAGCAGGGUAGCUAUGUGCGGAAGGGAUAACCGCUGAAAGCAUCUAAGCGGGAAGCCUGCCUCAAGAUAAGUUCUCCCCUCGAAAGAGCUGAAGGGCCCGGGUAGACUACCCGGUCGAUAGGCUGGAGGUGUAAGCGCGGCGACGUGCUCAGCUGACCAGUACUAAUAGCCCGAGCGGCUUAUUU